This 1365-nucleotide ribosomal RNA is filed under the name Triticum aestivum (bread wheat). Its description in RNAcentral is "partial small subunit ribosomal RNA". Lineage: Eukaryota; Viridiplantae; Streptophyta; Magnoliopsida; Poales; Poaceae. The record is from RNAcentral.
AUGGAGGUGGUGCUGCAUGCCGGCGACGCCGAGGACUGGGUCUACAAGGGAGAGGGCGCGGCGAAUCUCAUCCUCAGCUACACGGGCUCCUCGCCCUCCAUGCUUGGCAAGGUACUGCGGGCCAAGAAGGUCCUAAAUGACAAGGCUCAACCAGCACCAAACUGCGUAAACUUCUCAAGCUACGAGCAGCUCGUGUGGGGUGACAUCCCAGAAUUGAUCGAGUCUGUCAAGCAAGGUUCUGUGGCACAAGCUUAUGCAGUACAUGUCAUGAGCCAACAUCUGGGGCACGAUCAUGUUGAUGGCGGGGUUCGUGUCUCUGUGUCUAAGGAUUUUCUGGAGAUUGUUGGAAAGAAUGUGCUCAGCGCCCGUCCUGCUUGGCGAGUGAAUGCAAGCGCAAUUGACACCAAUGCUGAUUCUGCCCUUCUAAUUUCUGACCACUCCUUAUUUUCUGGAAAACCUAGAGGUAGCAGCUGUAUUGCAGUGGAGAUAAAGGCCAAAUGUGGGUUUCUUCCAUCAUCAGAAUAUAUAUCAAAGGAAAAUGCUAUUAAGAAACAAGUAACACGGUACAAGAUGCAUCAACACCUCAAAUUUCAUCAGGGGCAGAUAUCGAAGACAAGUGAAUAUGACCCCCUUGAUCUAUUCUCUGGGUCAAAAGAAAGAAUACGCACGGCCAUCAAGUCAUUUUUCUCGACUCCUCAGAACAACUUCAGGAUUUUUGUAAAUGGCUCCUUAGGUUUUGGUGGCAUGGGAGGUGGUGCUGAUAAGGUCCUUGCUAAUGAAACUGAGAAGUGUCUUGAAGAUCUGAGGAAGGUUAGUGGGCUACAACUAUCUGACUUUAUUGAACUCUUGUCAGAGGCAAUAUCUAAAUCUGGAGUAUUGGAUAAACUUUUGGCCACUCAAAAACUGGAUGAUCAUGACAUCGAAGGGGCAAUUCAUUUGUAUUACAACAUCAUCUCUCAGCCUUGUUUGGUCUGCAAAAAUAUAACUGAUGCUGAGCUAUUGCACAAGUACUCUGUGUUGCAUUCUCUUCCUUUGGACAAGAGCUGUAAGAUUGUGAGGGACUUUCUCAUUUCUGCUACUGCAAAGGACUGUAGCCUCAUGAUGUGCUUCCGGCCAAGAGAGUGUGAAAGAACAGAUUCCGAGUAUGAUUCAGUUUUUCUCCAGUCAGUGAACCGAGCCUAUGAUUACAAGGCAUACUUUGUUGAUCUGGAUGUGAAGCCUCUGGAUAAGAUGACACAUUAUUUUAAAUUGGACCAAAAGAUCGUCAAUUUCUACACUAAGAGCGGGGAAAUCGGGCGAGUUCCUUGUGAUUCUCAGAAGGGGGUAGGCACCAGUGAUGACACAGCUGUUCAGCCACAACAUUGA